UACGGAGGGUGCAAACGUUGCUCGGAAUCAUUGGGCGUAAAGCGCACGUAGGCGGCCGAUUAAGUCGGAUGUGAAAGCCCUGGGCUCAACCCAGGAAGUGCAUUCGAAACUGAUCGGCUUGAAUAUGGAAGAGGGUCGCGGAAUUCCCGGUGUAGAGGUGAAAUUCGUAGAUAUCGGGAGGAACACCAGUGGCGAAGGCGGCGACCUGGACGGACACUGACGCUGAGACGCGAAAGCGUGGGGAGCAAACAGG
Molecule: ribosomal RNA, 253 nt
Filed under: uncultured bacterium
Lineage: Bacteria
Description: partial 16S ribosomal RNA
Rfam family: Bacterial small subunit ribosomal RNA
Source: RNAcentral